CGGAGGGAUCAUUACCGAGUUUACAACUCCCAAACCCAAUGUGAACGUUACCAAACUGUUGCCUCGGCGGGAUCUCUGCCCCGGGUGCGUCGCAGCCCCGGACCAAGGCGCCCGCCGGAGGACCAACCAAAACUCUUUUUGUAUACCCCCUCGCGGGUUUUUUAUAAUCUGAGCCUUCUCGGCGCCUCUCGUAGGCGUUUCGAAAAUGAAUCAAAACUUUCAACAACGGAUCUCUUGGUUCUGGCAUCGAUGAAGAACGCAGCGAAAUGCGAUAAGUAAUGUGAAUUGCAGAAUUCAGUGAAUCAUCGAAUCUUUGAACGCACAUUGCGCCCGCCAGUAUUCUGGCGGGCAUGCCUGUCCGAGCGUCAUUUCAACCCUCGAACCCCUCCGGGGGGUCGGCGUUGGGGAUCGGCCCUCCCUUAGCGGGUGGCCGUCUCCGAAAUACAGUGGCGGUCUCGCCGCAGCCUCUCCUGCGCAGUAGUUUGCACACUCGCAUCGGGAGCGCGGCGCGUCCACAGCCGUUAAACACCCAACUUCUGAAAUGUUGACCUCGGAUCAGGUAGGAAUACCCGCUGAACUUAAGCAU
This 586-nucleotide ribosomal RNA is filed under the name Trichoderma harzianum. RNAcentral's name for it is "eukaryotic LSU rRNA". The stretch from base 215 to 368 matches the Rfam family "5.8S ribosomal RNA". The record is from RNAcentral. Lineage: Eukaryota; Fungi; Ascomycota; Sordariomycetes; Hypocreales; Hypocreaceae.